RNAcentral lists this unclassified non-coding RNA (209 nucleotides) under Coprinus comatus. RNAcentral's name for it is "partial internal transcribed spacer 2". Lineage: Eukaryota; Fungi; Basidiomycota; Agaricomycetes; Agaricales; Agaricaceae. The record is from RNAcentral.
AAUUCUCAACCCCUCCAGCUUUUGUGGCUGGUCGUGGCUUGGAUAUGGGAGUUUUGCUGGUCUCAUUUCGAGAUCAGCUCUCCUGAAAUGCAUUAGUGGAACCGUUUGCGAUCCGUCACCGGUGUGAUAAUUAUCUACGCCAUAGACUGUGAACGCUCUCUGUAUUGUUCUGCUUCUAACUGUCCUGUAAAAGGACAACGAUAUUGAAC